RNAcentral lists this ribosomal RNA (699 nucleotides) under uncultured bacterium. RNAcentral's name for it is "partial 16S ribosomal RNA". The record is from RNAcentral.
UACGGUUACCUUGUUACGACUUAGCGCCAAUCACCGAUUUUACCUUCGGCCUAUCUACAUAGGACUUCGGGUACCCCCGGCUUUCAUCGCUUGACGGGCGGUGUGUACAAGACCCGGGAACGUAUUCACGGGAGCGAGCUGAUCUCCCAUUACUAGCGAUUCCGGCUUCAUGGAGUCGAAUUGCAGACUCCAAUCCGAACUGAGGACGGCUUUUUGAGAUUAGCUCCCCCUCGCGGGUUGGCAACCCUCUGUACCGUCCAUUGUAACACGUGUGUAGCCCAAGGCAUAAGGGCCGUACUGACUUGACGUCAUCUCCACCUUCCUCCUGGUUAUCCCAGGCAGUCCCCCAAGAGUGCGCACACCAUAAUCCGAAGAUUAAAAGUGUGGUAGCAACAUGGGGCAAUGGUUGCGCUCGUUGCGGGACUUAACCCAACAUCUCACGACACGAGCUGACGACAGCCAUGCAGCACCUGUGCAUCGUCCGGCCUAACCGACUCUCUCCUUUCAGAGAGAUACGACGAGCAUGUCAAGCCUUGGUGAGGUUCUUCGCGUAGCAUCGAAUUAAACCACAUGUUCCACCGCUUGUGCGGGUCCCCGUCAAUUCCUUUGAGUUUUAGCCUUGCGGCCGUAGUCCCCAGGUGGAGCACUUAAUGCGUUAGCUGCGGCACUGAUCCCGAAGGACCAACACCUAGUGCUCAU